UACAGAGGUCUCAAGCGUUGUUCGGAUUCAUUGGGCGUAAAGGGUGCGUAGGCGGCGCGGUAAGUCGGGUGUGAAAUCUCGGAGCUUAACUCCGAAACUGCAUUCGAUACUGCCGUGCUUGAGGACUGGAGAGGAGACUGGAAUUUACGGUGUAGCGGUGAAAUGCGUAGAUAUCGUAAGGAAGACCAGUGGCGAAGGCGGGUCUCUGGACAGUUCCUGACGCUGAGGCUCGAAGGUCAGGGGAGCAAACGGG
This 253-nucleotide ribosomal RNA is filed under the name uncultured bacterium. RNAcentral's name for it is "partial 16S ribosomal RNA". It matches the Rfam family "Bacterial small subunit ribosomal RNA", at positions 524 to 776 of the family's 1533-position model. The record is from RNAcentral.